RNAcentral lists this ribosomal RNA (2906 nucleotides) under Escherichia coli. RNAcentral's name for it is "23S ribosomal RNA". It matches the Rfam family "Bacterial large subunit ribosomal RNA". Lineage: Bacteria; Pseudomonadati; Pseudomonadota; Gammaproteobacteria; Enterobacterales; Enterobacteriaceae. The record is from RNAcentral. RNAcentral also lists the same sequence under 1 other name.
GGUUAAGCGACUAAGCGUACACGGUGGAUGCCCUGGCAGUCAGAGGCGAUGAAGGACGUGCUAAUCUGCGAUAAGCGUCGGUAAGGUGAUAUGAACCGUUAUAACCGGCGAUUUCCGAAUGGGGAAACCCAGUGUGAUUCGUCACACUAUCAUUAACUGAAUCCAUAGGUUAAUGAGGCGAACCGGGGGAACUGAAACAUCUAAGUACCCCGAGGAAAAGAAAUCAACCGAGAUUCCCCCAGUAGCGGCGAGCGAACGGGGAGCAGCCCAGAGCCUGAAUCAGUGUGUGUGUUAGUGGAAGCGUCUGGAAAGGCGCGCGAUACAGGGUGACAGCCCCGUACACAAAAAUGCACAUGCUGUGAGCUCGAUGAGUAGGGCGGGACACGUGGUAUCCUGUCUGAAUAUGGGGGGACCAUCCUCCAAGGCUAAAUACUCCUGACUGACCGAUAGUGAACCAGUACCGUGAGGGAAAGGCGAAAAGAACCCCGGCGAGGGGAGUGAAAAAGAACCUGAAACCGUGUACGUACAAGCAGUGGGAGCACGCUUAGGCGUGUGACUGCGUACCUUUUGUAUAAUGGGUCAGCGACUUAUAUUCUGUAGCAAGGUUAACCGAAUAGGGGAGCCGAAGGGAAACCGAGUCUUAACUGGGCGUUAAGUUGCAGGGUAUAGACCCGAAACCCGGUGAUCUAGCCAUGGGCAGGUUGAAGGUUGGGUAACACUAACUGGAGGACCGAACCGACUAAUGUUGAAAAAUUAGCGGAUGACUUGUGGCUGGGGGUGAAAGGCCAAUCAAACCGGGAGAUAGCUGGUUCUCCCCGAAAGCUAUUUAGGUAGCGCCUCGUGAAUUCAUCUCCGGGGGUAGAGCACUGUUUCGGCAAGGGGGUCAUCCCGACUUACCAACCCGAUGCAAACUGCGAAUACCGGAGAAUGUUAUCACGGGAGACACACGGCGGGUGCUAACGUCCGUCGUGAAGAGGGAAACAACCCAGACCGCCAGCUAAGGUCCCAAAGUCAUGGUUAAGUGGGAAACGAUGUGGGAAGGCCCAGACAGCCAGGAUGUUGGCUUAGAAGCAGCCAUCAUUUAAAGAAAGCGUAAUAGCUCACUGGUCGAGUCGGCCUGCGCGGAAGAUGUAACGGGGCUAAACCAUGCACCGAAGCUGCGGCAGCGACGCUUAUGCGUUGUUGGGUAGGGGAGCGUUCUGUAAGCCUGUGAAGGUGUGCUGUGAGGCAUGCUGGAGGUAUCAGAAGUGCGAAUGCUGACAUAAGUAACGAUAAAGCGGGUGAAAAGCCCGCUCGCCGGAAGACCAAGGGUUCCUGUCCAACGUUAAUCGGGGCAGGGUGAGUCGACCCCUAAGGCGAGGCCGAAAGGCGUAGUCGAUGGGAAACAGGUUAAUAUUCCUGUACUUGGUGUUACUGCGAAGGGGGGACGGAGAAGGCUAUGUUGGCCGGGCGACGGUUGUCCCGGUUUAAGCGUGUAGGCUGGUUUUCCAGGCAAAUCCGGAAAAUCAAGGCUGAGGCGUGAUGACGAGGCACUACGGUGCUGAAGCAACAAAUGCCCUGCUUCCAGGAAAAGCCUCUAAGCAUCAGGUAACAUCAAAUCGUACCCCAAACCGACACAGGUGGUCAGGUAGAGAAUACCAAGGCGCUUGAGAGAACUCGGGUGAAGGAACUAGGCAAAAUGGUGCCGUAACUUCGGGAGAAGGCACGCUGAUAUGUAGGUGAAGUCCCUUGCGGAUGGAGCUGAAAUCAGUCGAAGAUACCAGCUGGCUGCAACUGUUUAUUAAAAACACAGCACUGUGCAAACACGAAAGUGGACGUAUACGGUGUGACGCCUGCCCGGUGCCGGAAGGUUAAUUGAUGGGGUUAGCCGCAAGGCGAAGCUCUUGAUCGAAGCCCCGGUAAACGGCGGCCGUAACUAUAACGGUCCUAAGGUAGCGAAAUUCCUUGUCGGGUAAGUUCCGACCUGCACGAAUGGCGUAAUGAUGGCCAGGCUGUCUCCACCCGAGACUCAGUGAAAUUGAACUCGCUGUGAAGAUGCAGUGUACCCGCGGCAAGACGGAAAGACCCCGUGAACCUUUACUAUAGCUUGACACUGAACAUUGAGCCUUGAUGUGUAGGAUAGGUGGGAGGCUUUGAAGUGUGGACGCCAGUCUGCAUGGAGCCGACCUUGAAAUACCACCCUUUAAUGUUUGAUGUUCUAACGUUGACCCGUAAUCCGGGUUGCGGACAGUGUCUGGUGGGUAGUUUGACUGGGGCGGUCUCCUCCUAAAGAGUAACGGAGGAGCACGAAGGUUGGCUAAUCCUGGUCGGACAUCAGGAGGUUAGUGCAAUGGCAUAAGCCAGCUUGACUGCGAGCGUGACGGCGCGAGCAGGUGCGAAAGCAGGUCAUAGUGAUCCGGUGGUUCUGAAUGGAAGGGCCAUCGCUCAACGGAUAAAAGGUACUCCGGGGAUAACAGGCUGAUACCGCCCAAGAGUUCAUAUCGACGGCGGUGUUUGGCACCUCGAUGUCGGCUCAUCACAUCCUGGGGCUGAAGUAGGUCCCAAGGGUAUGGCUGUUCGCCAUUUAAAGUGGUACGCGAGCUGGGUUUAGAACGUCGUGAGACAGUUCGGUCCCUAUCUGCCGUGGGCGCUGGAGAACUGAGGGGGGCUGCUCCUAGUACGAGAGGACCGGAGUGGACGCAUCACUGGUGUUCGGGUUGUCAUGCCAAUGGCACUGCCCGGUAGCUAAAUGCGGAAGAGAUAAGUGCUGAAAGCAUCUAAGCACGAAACUUGCCCCGAGAUGAGUUCUCCCUGACUCCUUGAGAGUCCUGAAGGAACGUUGAAGACGACGACGUUGAUAGGCCGGGUGUGUAAGCGCAGCGAUGCGUUGAGCUAACCGGUACUAAUGAACCGUGAGGCUUAACCUU